AGGGCGUAUGGUGGAUGCCUUGGCACCGGAAGCCGAUGAAGGACGUGGCAAGCUGCGAUAAGCCUCGUUGAGCCGCAAGCGGGCUAUGAUACGAGGAUUUCCGAAUGGGGAAACCCGGCGGGGGUAAUGCCCCGUCACCCGCAUCUGAACACAUAGGAUGCGAGGAGGGAACCCGGGGAAAUGAAACAUCUGAGUACCCGGAGGAAAAGAAAGAAAGUUUCGAUCUCCUGAGUAGUGGCGAGCGAAAUGGAGACAGCCCAAACCGACUGCAUGGAAGCCUGUGGGCGUUGUGCAGUCGGGGUUGUAGGAUCUUGCGCGGUCACCCCACAGGGUGGCCGGAGAGUUACAAAUCACGCGGGUAGUCGAAUCGAACUGGAUACGUUCAGCCGUAGAGGGUGAAAGCCCCGUAGACGAAACUCGCGUGGCUCUCUAGCUUGACUCCUGAGUAAGUCCGGGCACGGGAAACCCGGAUUGAAUCUGCGAGGACCACCUCGUAAGGCUAAACACUAACGGUGACCGAUAGUGAACCAGUACCGUGAGGGAAAGGUGAAAAGUACCCCGCAAGGGGAGUUAAAUAGCACCUGAAACCAUACGCCUACAAGCGGUCGGAGCAGUGGUUUAACCACUGUGACGGCGUACUUUUUGCAUAACGGGCCAGCGAGUUGCUGGUAUCUGGCAAGGUUAAGCGAGAGCGAGCCGCAGCGAAAGCGAGUCUGAUAAGGGCGCGCAGUCAGAUGCCGCAGACCCGAAACCGGGUGAGCUAUCCAUGGACAGGUUGAAGCGUGGGUAAGACCACGUGGAGGACCGAACCGACCUAGGUUGAAAACUGGGCGGAUGAUCUGUGGAUAGGAGUGAAAGGCUAAUCAAACCCGGCGAUAUCUGGUUCUCCCCGAAAUAUAUUUAGGUAUAGCCUGGCACGUUUCGUCGCGGGUGUAGAGCACUGUUUGGGUGCGGGGCCCUACAAGGUUACCAAACUCAGAUAAACUCCGAAGACCGUAGACGUUAGAGUGCUGGAGUCAGGGCGCGGGGGAUAACCUCCGUGUCCGAAAGGGAAACAACCCAGCCCGUCGGCUAAGGUCCCUAAAUGAUGGCUAACAGGUAAAAAGGAUGUGGCGCUGCACAGACAACCAGGAUGUUGGCUUAGAAGCAGCCAUCAUUUAAAGAGUGCGUAAUAGCUCACUGGUCAAGUGGUGUUGCGCCGAAAAUUCAUCGGGCCUAAAGUCAUCUACCGAAGCCACGGACUUCAGCUUUGCUGGAGUGGUAGGGGAGCAUCCCGUAGCGGCUGAAGCGGCGGCGUAAGCUUAAGCCGUGGACGCUGCGGGAGAGAGAAUGCUGGCAUGAGUAACGAGAGACGGGUGAGAAACCCGUCCGCCGAAAGCCUAAGGGUUCCUGGGUAAAGUUUUUCUUCCCAGGGUCAGUCGGGACCUAAGCUGAGAGCGAAAGCUGUAGGCGAUGGACAGUAGGUCGAUAUUCCUACACCGCGUACAUGGCGUUUGAGUGAUGGAGUGACGGAGAAGGAUCGGCCAACCACGGCGCUGGUAGACCGUGGGCUUUACCGUAGGGCGGGGACCAGGGAAAUCCGGGCCCCAUUAAGCCUGAGGGUUGAGCCGAAUCCCGUUAAUAGGGCAAGUGGCCUACUCCAUGCUUCCUGGAAAAACUUCUAAACGAGUCAUGUGCGUGCCCGUACCCCAAACCAACACAGGUAGGCAGGUAGAGAAUACCAAGGCGCACGAGAUAACUCUGGUUAAGGAAUUCGGCAAAUUGUCCCCGUAACUUCGGGAGAAGGGGAGCCUCUGCCGGUGAUCGCCCUUGCGGCGUAAGCUGGCGGAGGUCGCAGAGAAUGGGCGCGAGCGACUGUUUACCAAAAACACAGGUCUCUGCUAAGUCGAAAAGACGAUGUAUAGGGGCUGACGCCUGCCCAAUGCCAGAACGUUAAGGAAGCCGGUUAGCCCUGCCCCUUCUGGGGCUUGGCGAAGCUGGCGACCGAAGCGCUGGUCAAUGGCGGCCGUAACUAUAACGGUCCUAAGGUAGCGAAAUUCCUUGUCGGGUAAGUUCCGACCUGCACGAAAGGCGUAACGACUCGCGCACUGUCUCAACCAGAGACUCGGUGAAAUUGUAGUAUCGGUGAAGAUGCCGAUUACCCGCGGAAGGACGGAAAGACCCCGUGAACCUUUACUAUAACUUGGCAUUGGAUGCUGACACGUUUUGUGCAGGAUAGGAGGGAGGCUAUGAAGCCGGGACGCUAGUCUCGGUGGAGCCAUCCUUGAGAUACCUCCCUAAACGUGUUGGUGUUCUAACCCCACACCGUUAUCCGGGUGGGGAACAGUGUCAGGCGGGUAGUUUGACUGGGGCGGUCGCCUCCCAAAAAGUAACGGAGGCGCUCAAAGGUUCCCUCAGCACGGUCGGAAAUCGUGCGUAGAGCGCAAAGGCAAAAGGGAGCUUGACUGCGAGACUGACAAGUCGAGCAGGGACGAAAGUCGGACUUAGUGAUCCGGCGGUAACGCGUGGAAGUGCCGUCGCUCAACGGAUAAAAGGUACUCCGGGGAUAACAGGCUUAUAGCCGCCAAGAGUUCAUAUCGACGCGGCUGUUUGGCACCUCGAUGUCGGCUCGUCGCAUCCUGGGGCUGGAGUAGGUCCCAAGGGUUGGGCUGUUCGCCCAUUAAAGCGGCACGCGAGCUGGGUUCAGAACGUCGUGAGACAGUUCGGUCCCUAUCCUCCGUGGGCGUUGGAGACUUGAGAGGAGCGGCUCCUAGUACGAGAGGACCGGAGUGGACGCACCUCUGGUGCACCGGUUGUCCUGCCAAGGGCAUGGCCGGGUAGCUAUGUGCGGAAGAGAUAACCGCUGAAAGCAUCUAAGCGGGAAGCUCGCCUCAAGAUGAGGUCUCCCAUCCCCUAGAGGGAGUAAGACCCCUGCUAGACGAGCAGGUUGAUAGGCCACAGGUGUAAGCACGGCGACGUGUUCAGCCGAGUGGUACUAAUAAGUCGAGGGCUUAGUGG
This 2997-nucleotide ribosomal RNA is filed under the name Rubrobacter aplysinae. Its description in RNAcentral is "bacterial LSU rRNA". It matches the Rfam family "Bacterial large subunit ribosomal RNA". The record is from RNAcentral. Lineage: Bacteria; Bacillati; Actinomycetota; Rubrobacteria; Rubrobacterales; Rubrobacteraceae.